CCCUUAGAUGUUCUGGGCAGCACGCGCGCUACAAUGGUCUUCGCAAACGGAUGCAUUCUCGAAGGAGAAUGCCAAUCUUGGAAUCUAUGCCUUGGUCGGGACAGUUGCUUGCAAUUUUUCGACUCGAACCAGGAAUUCCUUGUAAUCGUGAUUCAUCACAUCACGAUGAAUACGUCCCUGCCCUUUGUACACACCGCCCGUCGCUCCUACCGAUCGAAGAGUUAGGUGAAUUGUUUGGAUCGAUAAGAUUUGACUAUGGUCAACUCUCGUUGUGAAAUUCUGUGAAUCUGACUGUUUAGAGGAAGGAAAAGUCGUAACA
RNAcentral lists this ribosomal RNA (319 nucleotides) under uncultured eukaryote. RNAcentral describes it as "partial 18S ribosomal RNA". It matches the Rfam family "Eukaryotic small subunit ribosomal RNA", at positions 1470 to 1796 of the family's 1831-position model. The record is from RNAcentral.